This 72-nucleotide transfer RNA is filed under the name Camelus ferus (Wild Bactrian camel). It matches the Rfam family "tRNA". Rfam says of the family: Transfer RNA (tRNA) molecules are approximately 80 nucleotides in length. Their secondary structure includes four short double-helical elements and three loops (D, anti-codon, and T loops). Further hydrogen bonds mediate the characteristic L-shaped molecular structure. tRNAs have two regions of fundamental functional importance: the anti-codon, which is responsible for specific mRNA codon recognition, and the 3' end, to which the tRNAs corresponding amino acid is attached (by aminoacyl-tRNA synthetases). tRNAs cope with the degeneracy of the genetic code in two manners: having more than one tRNA (with a specific anti-codon) for a particular amino acid; and 'wobble' base-pairing, i.e. permitting non-standard base-pairing at the 3rd anti-codon position. The record is from Rfam by way of RNAcentral. Lineage: Eukaryota; Metazoa; Chordata; Mammalia; Artiodactyla; Camelidae.
GUGGGUAUGGCUCAGUGAUAGAGCACAUGCUUACUAUGCAUGAGGUCCUGCGUUCAAGCCCUAGUACCUCCA